GAUGAACGCUGGCGGCGUGCCUAAUACAUGCAAGUCGAGCGAACAGAUGAGGAGCUUGCUCCUCUGACGUUAGCGGCGGACGGGUGAGUAACACGUGGAUAACCUACCUAUAAGACUGGGAUAAAUUCGGGAAACCGGAGCUAAUACCGGAUAAUAUAUUGAACCGCAUGGUUCAAUAGUGAAAGCCGGAUUUGAUGUCACUUAUAGAUGGAUCCGCGCCGCAUUAGCUAGUUGGUAAGGUAACGGCUUACCAAGGCAACGAUGCGUAGCCGACCUGAGAGGGUGAUCGGCCACACUGGAACUGAGACACGGUCCAGACUCCUACGGGAGGCAGCAGUAGGGAAUCUUCCGCAAUGGGCGAAAGCCUGACGGAGCAACGCCGCGUGAGUGAUGAAGGUCUUCGGAUCGUAAAACUCUGUUAUUAGGGAAGAACAAAUGUGUAAGUAACUAUGCACGUCUUGACGGUACCUAAUCAGAAAGCCACGGCUAACUACGUG
Molecule: ribosomal RNA, 497 nt
Filed under: uncultured bacterium
Lineage: Bacteria
Description: partial 16S ribosomal RNA
Rfam family: Bacterial small subunit ribosomal RNA
Source: RNAcentral